This is a non-coding RNA of Pelobates cultripes (western spadefoot toad), 100 nucleotides long. NCBI's taxonomy places the organism in Eukaryota, Metazoa, Chordata, Amphibia, Anura, Pelobatidae. The record is from the annotation of a GenBank genome assembly.
AUGCUGUAUAAUUUGACUCAUAACCCUCUGAUUGGUUGCUUUAAAAAAAAUAUAGCAACCAAUCAGAGUGUUAUGAGUCAGAUUACACAGGGCCUUGUGU